GACGAACGCUGGCGGCGUGCCUAACACAUGCAAGUUGAGCGACGAACCAGGGCUUGCCCUGGGGCAAAGCAGCGAACGGGUGAGUAACACGUGGGUAACCUACCCCGAUAACCGGGACAACCCGAGGAAACUCGGGCUAAUACCGGAUGUGCUCACUGGACUUCGGUUCAGUGCGUAAAGGAAGCUUCGGCCUCCGUAUCGGGAGGGGCCCGCGGCCCAUUAGUUUGUUGGUGAGGUAACGGCUCACCAAGACCGCGAUGGGUAGCUGGUCUGCGAGGACGAUCAGCCACACUGGGACUGAGACACGGCCCAGACUCCUACGGGAGGCAGCAGUGGGGAAUCUUGCGCAAUGCGCGAAAGCGUGACGCAGCAACGCCGCGUGGGGGAAGAAGGCCUUCGGGUUGUAAACCCCUUUCAGGAGGGACGAAGGUUCGGCGGUGAAUAGCCGUCCGGACUGACGGUACCUCCACAAGAAGCCCCGGCUAACUACGUG
Molecule: ribosomal RNA, 493 nt
Filed under: uncultured bacterium
Lineage: Bacteria
Description: partial 16S ribosomal RNA
Rfam family: Bacterial small subunit ribosomal RNA
Source: RNAcentral